Molecule: transfer RNA, 71 nt
Filed under: Tamias amoenus canicaudus
Lineage: Eukaryota; Metazoa; Chordata; Mammalia; Rodentia; Sciuridae
Description: tRNA-Phe
Rfam family: tRNA
About the family: Transfer RNA (tRNA) molecules are approximately 80 nucleotides in length. Their secondary structure includes four short double-helical elements and three loops (D, anti-codon, and T loops). Further hydrogen bonds mediate the characteristic L-shaped molecular structure. tRNAs have two regions of fundamental functional importance: the anti-codon, which is responsible for specific mRNA codon recognition, and the 3' end, to which the tRNAs corresponding amino acid is attached (by aminoacyl-tRNA synthetases). tRNAs cope with the degeneracy of the genetic code in two manners: having more than one tRNA (with a specific anti-codon) for a particular amino acid; and 'wobble' base-pairing, i.e. permitting non-standard base-pairing at the 3rd anti-codon position.
Source: RNAcentral
GUUAAUGUAGCUUAAAUUAUCAAAGCAAAGCACUGAAAAUGCUUAGAUGGAUUGAAUCAAUCCCAUAAACA